Molecule: transfer RNA, 98 nt
Filed under: Ralstonia flatus
Lineage: Bacteria; Pseudomonadati; Pseudomonadota; Betaproteobacteria; Burkholderiales; Burkholderiaceae
Description: Ralstonia sp. LMG 32965 tRNA-Ser
Source: RNAcentral
GCCGUCGGUGGGUUGCAGCGUGUCGAAUUCGGCUUUGUUGCUGGCAUAGCGGUAGCCGCCGGCCUUCAGUUCGGCGAUCAGGUCGCGGCCGUCGGUGC